GCCGGGGUGGCGGAAUUGGCAGACGCGCUAGCUUGAGGGGCUAGUGGGCUUGAUGCCUGUGUGGGUUCAAAUCCCACUCCCGGCA
This 85-nucleotide transfer RNA is filed under the name bacterium. RNAcentral describes it as "tRNA-Leu". It matches the Rfam family "tRNA". Rfam says of the family: Transfer RNA (tRNA) molecules are approximately 80 nucleotides in length. Their secondary structure includes four short double-helical elements and three loops (D, anti-codon, and T loops). The record is from RNAcentral. RNAcentral also lists the same sequence under 1 other name.